AUAGAGACUCAGAGCUGCAUAUCAAUAAGCGGAGGAAAAGAAACUAACAAGGAUUCCCUUAGUAACGGCGAGUGAAGCGGGAAGAGCUCAAAUUUGAAAUCUUCAAGGUUUUACCUUGACGAAUUGUAGUUUAAAGAAGUGUUUUCUGCUGGAGUUUUGGUAAAAGUUCUUUGGAAUAGGACAUCAUAGAGGGUGAGAAUCCCGUAUUUGACCAUUAUUUCAGCUGUGUGAUACACUUUCAAAGAGUCGGAUUGUUUGGGAAUGCAGUCCAAAAUGGGUGGUAAAUUUCAUCUAAAGCUAAAUAUUGGCGAGAGACCGAUAGCGAACAAGUACCGUGAGGGAAAGAUGAAAAGAACUUUGAAAAGAGAGUUAAACAGUACAGUGAAAUUGUCAAAAGGGAAGCGUUUGACACCAGUGUUGUUUUCUCGAAAAUCAAUUAAAUAUGAUGGGAUUUUGUGUUGUAUUGACUUUAUCAGCUUUCUGCACUUUUUUCUUAUCUUUUUUAAUGCACUUUUCGUUUAACAAGUCAACAUCAAUUUCUUUUGUUGUAAAAGAGUCAUUGGAAGGUGGCUUUUUCUUCGGAAAAAGUGUUUAUAGCCUUUGGCUUCUGCAAUCGGAGAGAUUGAGGUCUGCAGCGUAGAUCCUUCGGGGUUAGAUACAUUUGUGCUAAGCUAUAGUUCUUUAUAGACAACUUGUUGACUAUAAUCAAUCCUGUAACUUACUCGCUUAUGCUAUUUUACCUACGCUUAGGAUGUUGACGCAUGAGAUAUACGC
This 774-nucleotide ribosomal RNA is filed under the name uncultured Neocallimastigales. RNAcentral describes it as "partial large subunit ribosomal RNA". The stretch from base 8 to 693 matches the Rfam family "Eukaryotic large subunit ribosomal RNA", at positions 24 to 664 of the family's 3401-position model. Lineage: Eukaryota; Fungi; Neocallimastigomycota; Neocallimastigomycetes; Neocallimastigales. The record is from RNAcentral.